This 484-nucleotide ribosomal RNA is filed under the name uncultured bacterium. RNAcentral describes it as "partial 16S ribosomal RNA". It matches the Rfam family "Bacterial small subunit ribosomal RNA", at positions 30 to 507 of the family's 1533-position model. The record is from RNAcentral.
AUUGAACGCUGGCGGCAGGCCUAACACAUGCAAGUCGAGCGGAUGAAGGGAGCUUGCUCCUGGAUUCAGCGGCGGACGGGUGAGUAAUGCCUAGGAAUCUGCCUGGUAGUGGGGGAUAACGUCCGGAAACGGGCGCUAAUACCGCAUACGUCCUGAGGGAGAAAGUGGGGGAUCUUCGGACCUCACGCUAUCAGAUGAGCCUAGGUCGGAUUAGCUAGUUGGUGGGGUAAAGGCCUACCAAGGCGACGAUCCGUAACUGGUCUGAGAGGAUGAUCAGUCACUCUGGAACUGAGACACGGUCCAGACUCCUACGGCAGGCAGCAGUGGGGCAUUUUGGACGAUGGGCGGAUGCCUGCUCCAGCCAUGCCACCUGUCUGCAGCAGGUCUUCGCAUUGUAGAGCACUUUACGUUGCGAGGAAGGGCAGUAAGUUAUUUCCUUGCUUUUUUGUCGUUACCAACAGAAUCAGCACCGGCUAACUUCGUG